RNAcentral lists this ribosomal RNA (459 nucleotides) under uncultured bacterium. RNAcentral describes it as "partial 16S ribosomal RNA". It matches the Rfam family "Bacterial small subunit ribosomal RNA", at positions 338 to 795 of the family's 1533-position model. The record is from RNAcentral.
CCUACGGGUGGCAGCAGUGAGGAAUAUUGGUCAAUGGCCGGAAGGCUGAACCAGCCAAGUCGCGUGAGGGACGACUGCCCUAUGGGUUGUAAACCUCUUUUAUAAGGGAAGAAUAAAUGCUACGUGUAGCAUGAUGCCUGUACCUUAUGAAUAAGCAUCGGCUAACUCCGUGCCAGCAGCCGCGGUAAUACGGAGGAUGCGAGCGUUAUCCGGAUUUAUUGGGUUUAAAGGGUGCGUAGGCGGUUUUUUAAGUUAGUGGUAAAACUUCGGGGCUUCACCUUGAUUUGCCAUUAAUACUGUAAGACUCGAGUUCAGACGAGGUAGGCGGAAUAAGUUAAGUAGCGGUGAAAUGCUUAGAUAUAACGUAGAACGCCGAUAGCGAAGGCAGCUUACCGGACUGCGACUGACGCUGAAGCACGAGAGCGUGGGUAGCGAACAGGAUUAGAUACCCCUGUAGUC